RNAcentral lists this ribosomal RNA (442 nucleotides) under uncultured bacterium. RNAcentral's name for it is "partial 16S ribosomal RNA". It matches the Rfam family "Bacterial small subunit ribosomal RNA", at positions 338 to 795 of the family's 1533-position model. The record is from RNAcentral.
CCUACGGGAGGCAGCAGUGGGGAAUAUUGGGCAAUGGACGCAAGUCUGACCCAGCAACGCCGCGUGAAGGAAGAAGGCUUUCGGGUUGUAAACUUCUUUUAAGGGGGAAGAGCAGAAGACGGUACCCCUUGAAUAAGCCACGGCUAACUACGUGCCAGCAGCCGCGGUAAUACGUAGGUGGCAAGCGUUGUCCGGAUUUACUGGGUGUAAAGGGCGUGCAGCCGGAGAGACAAGUCAGAUGUGAAAUCCACGGGCUCAACCCGUGAACUGCAUUUGAAACUGUUUCCCUUGAGUGUCGGAGAGGUAAUCGGAAUGCCUAGUGUAGCGGUGAAAUGCGUAGAUAUUAGGAAGAACACCAGUGGCGAAGGCAGAUUACUGGACGAUAACUGACGGUGAGGCGCGAAAGCGUGGGGAGCAAACAGGAUUAGAUACCCGGGUAGUC